GUGUGGUUUGUUCUACUUUCUUGAUGAUCUUCCCUUCAUGCCGAUCUACACAGCACUGGGCAGCUUAUCCAAACGCCUUCUGCAUAAUACAUCAUCCCAAAAUGACUGUGAGAAGGGGAUCAGCUGUCCGAUCCUGUCCGAGAAAAUGCCCGGCGGUGAACCUAUGCCCCCCUCCUGCCCGGAAAAAAAACAGGUUGGGAGUCGGCGGGCCUGUCCUUAGACGACCUCGGCCUGCUCCCUAGGUCUAAGGUAGCAUUUCCACACCAGUAAAUCCCAUAUCGUGGUACGUCCCACUUCGCAGGGAGCUCUCGAUACAUAACAGGAAAUGGAGGGUCUGGUACAGGAGUUCUGUUAGCGUCCCGGAGGAGCCAAGGACCCAGCGAUCAGGACAGAGGGAGGAGGGAGUAGCACCACAGGCUGAUGGUCGUUGGCCUUCCUAAAGGAGCGGAGCUUGUCUUUCUGUGAGCUAUGAGCUACUGCUAGCACAGCCUCAUCACCGCAUCCACAGGGGGGGGGGUGCGCACAGCACUGUGUGAGACCCUGGCCACAUCACGCCAGCUGCCCAGGUGUUCCGAGAGGCUCGGAGCGCUCUCUGUGAGAUGGCUGGGUCCCCACCUCCCCCACACGCGCUAACCUGCUACAUGAACUGCUACUUGAAGUUUACAAGGCUUAGCCUAGUGGCCCCAAUCACAGAAACCUCAUUUAAAUGGCCACUCUGUAAUUACAACUCUUCAUAAACUGCCUGUUAGCAUUAGCCGUGUUAGCUGUCAUCGCACUUGCAUGCCCUGUGUUUAGGAAUUAGUCAUUUUAGUCAUUCCCACAGCUGCAUGUCCUUUGGCAUCCGACCUGUUCUGGAAGUUACAAAAGUCUCCCGCAAAUUCACAGCAGCUGCCUGACACUCAUGAAGGAUGCGCAAUGUACUGGAAAUCGUUUGUGAUUUGAGGGAGGUGGAUG
Brienomyrus brachyistius is the source of this 954-nucleotide long non-coding RNA. RefSeq lists it as uncharacterized. The record is from RefSeq and is a predicted model, not a curated record. Lineage: Eukaryota; Metazoa; Chordata; Actinopteri; Osteoglossiformes; Mormyridae. The transcript has 3 exons.